Molecule: long non-coding RNA, 616 nt
Organism: Dermochelys coriacea (leatherback sea turtle)
Lineage: Eukaryota; Metazoa; Chordata; Testudines; Dermochelyidae
Exons: 4
Source: RefSeq, a predicted model, not a curated record
AGGUCAGCUGUUAGGAUGGGGAACACUUGAGCCUUGUGAUAAAAUGAUGUAAAAGAGCACAGUCACAAGGAAGCUGGGUUAGGAGUUGUAGACAGCAGCUUAGGUACCUGUGGGAAGUUCUGAGUUAGGGCCUGUAAGAAAUAGGGAGGCUACUGAGAGAAGUUUUUGGAAUUCCCAGGGAAGGGAGGUAGUGGGACGCCUGUCAGGCCCAAGGAGGCAAAGCAUGGUGUGUUUUGUUUGUUUAAUUGGACUUCUGCUACCCUGGAAGAAGACUGACCUUAUAUGUGACCGGGCCAGAGGGCCAAGUCAGCUAGAAGAGUGCUGUGGCAGAACCACAGCAGCUGGCAAAAGGGGAUGCUUGAGGUGAAGACCUGCUGUAAUGCCAUGCUCUGGUGGUAAGUGUUGGGGUAGAAUCAUGGAUGCUUCUAACCACAUCAAGAAUAGAAAUGUAUAGCUGCUUGCAUCAUUCUCUCCUUGGGAUAAAAUAGACUGCUGUGAACCCAUUUCAUUCUCAAGGUGAAUGCAGACAUUCAGCAUAUUGAGUUGUCUUUAUUAUUUAUUAUAAUAAAGCAAAUGUGGCUUUUCACUCUGCAUUGAGGGACCUUGUGUGACAUAU